RNAcentral lists this transfer RNA (63 nucleotides) under Protohermes motuoensis. Its description in RNAcentral is "tRNA-Thr". It matches the Rfam family "tRNA". From Rfam's summary of the family: Transfer RNA (tRNA) molecules are approximately 80 nucleotides in length. Their secondary structure includes four short double-helical elements and three loops (D, anti-codon, and T loops). Lineage: Eukaryota; Metazoa; Arthropoda; Insecta; Megaloptera; Corydalidae. The record is from RNAcentral.
GUUUUAAUAGUUUAAAUAAAAUAUUGGUCUUGUAAAUCAAAGAUAAGAUUUUCUUUUAAAACU